GAAGGGGCUGCGCUGGGAUGCACGAAGGGACCUUCAGGGAAGUUCGAAGAGGAAACCAGGAAGCGCUGUGAUCAGAAUCCCGCGGGUGGAGUGAGCACUGGCCUUCCCGCCUGGUGGCUGGGAAUUACCCUGACGACAGGCCAGGGUGACAUCUGACCUGGCCUUGGCGCAUCCUCAGCCAGGAUUUCUGAACAUGCAGGAGGUAUUUGAAGUGUGGUGUGUCGCUGUGUCUCUCUAACUCUGCCCCCACAAGGAUUCAGGCCCAGGCUAAGGCACGCCUGAUUUGCCGAGCAUCCCAGACUUGGCUGGUCUUUCCCUGCAAUUCUGUGUGUGCUUCUGGUCUAGGUUUACUACUUCGACUUUGUCUCUUCAGCAGGGUCUUUGGACGCUUUUGGUCUCAUGUGGGAUCACAAGCCAAUUUCCCUGACAUUCAAGUGGAGCUGCCCACCGGUUCCCAUUGCUUCCCCUUCUCCUUCCAGGAAGAUGAAGAAUCACUUCAGUGCUGUCCCUCACCUCAACUGUUAUUUAGUCUGCUUCAGAAGAACAUGUCCUCUGCCUGGGAACCACAAUCUAUGAAACUCUUACAGCUGAUGAACAAAUCCAUCGCAUCUGCUAGCAUGGCGCAUGCCUGUAGUCCCAGCACUUGAGAGGCUGAGGCAGGAGGAUUCCCUUCAGUUUGGAGCCAGCCUGAGCUACAUAGUGAGUUCAAGGACGGCCUGAACUACAUAAUGAGAACUUUUCUCAAAAAAAAAUUCAUUGUGCUUGUCUUCCAAAAAGAAUUUUUAAAAUACGAGUUUAACUGUAGCUUUUACUUAUUAGCUGGAAAAAUACUAUAGGUGGCUGAAUUUAAUUAUUACUGUUCAUCCAAAAGACAAAAGUCAUCUUUUGAUGAGAUGCAAUGUUUGAAUAAACAAUAGAGGACUAAAGUAACAAUAUGCAAUAUUACAACCCUUGUUAAGUUCCUAUCAUCUUGUUUUGAAAACCUAUGCUGUUAUUGUUUGCGGUUUGUUGUUGUUCAUCCCUUUUGCCUUUUGUUUUUCUUUUCUGUGCCUUUUUUCUCUUAAAUAAAUAAAAAUAAUAAAAGUUUUAAAAGAAUAGAGGACUAAAUAAUGAGUAAUUAUAUAAUUAUUACAUAUUCAGUUUUCCUGUCUUAUUUCAGCUCAUUAACUAAUUAUGUUAUUAUAAUUAUUGUUUUCACAUGAUUUGUAUCUAUGAUAUACUUGAUAAUGGCAUAAAAGAUGCCAUUAAAAAUGUGUUGUCAGAGUGCUCAUGAAUUUCUUUACUAUGAUGAUAUUUGUUUAAGCAUAUUUAUGGCCUGUAAAUUCCUCUAAAGCAUAAGGUAGAUAAAAUAUAAGACUUGCAGUUAAACUUGAAUUACAUAUAGCCAAUAAAUAAUUUUUAGUAUACAGUAUCUCAAACAUUGCACGAGAUACAUUUAUAUUAAAAAACUGCUCCUUAUAUUUACUCCAAAUUCAUAAUGAACUAAGCCUGCCAUAAUUUUAUUUACUAAAUCUGGCAAAGUUUGGGAUCCAAAGAGCAUAUCUUGUUUUUGGUCCAGGAUUAAAGACAGCAUUAAACUUCGAAGGCAUUAAAUAGAACACUAACAAGAAAAAAGCAGGUCCUUGAAUUCUGAAAGCCUUCACCAACACUCCUACCAAAAGAGAGUUGACUAUUUUUCUAUCUUUCACCAGCAGUAAGCUAAGCUUGGGAGAUUAAUGUCUUAGCAGAAAUAUGUAUGAAACUAGGAAACACGUGCUUCUCUCCCAGAUAUUCCUUUGUUUAUAAUGCUAUGGAGUGUCAUAUGCUCAUUCUUUCAUAUUGUUUGAAUAAUCACCAACUCUUCAGCUUAAUGUAUUGAUCCAUAUACGUUUUGUUAAACCUUGGCUAUACCUGUCACAAUGUAUUUGAUAAACAUAACAACUCUCUGGGGUAGAUUUAUUAUCUCUAUUUAGAGAUAUACAACUUAAACUCAGCAAGGCUAAAUAACUUUCCUCAAAUCACUCACUUGAUAAAUGAUGGAGGCAUAAUUUCAAUUUAUAUUGUUCCAAUUUUAAAGUUUUGGUGGAAAAGCAAGCAGGGUCACGGAAGGGAAAGGAGACCUAAUGUUUCUUUAGUGCCCUGCUUAGGGCUGAGGCUCAAUUUUGCAUAGUUCCAACUGCUGGCAACCUUUCAGAUUGAAUUCUGACCUCUCAGGGAACAAAAAGUGCCAUAGAUAAAAAGCCAAAUUGUUUCCAUAAGAAAGAAACACUAGUGCUCAAAAUAAGAAGAAAAAGAGGUGUGUAUGUGUAAAUUUUCUUAAAUGAAAAUGCAAAGGACUUAAAAUCACUGAAAUAAUUUUAAAAAGAAUACCACAGUUGGAGGACUGAGGCCCUCUGAUUUCAAACCUUGUAAAGCUACAGUGAUUAAGUACAUGUGGUGUUUAUAGAAAGAGAGAUGUACAGGCCAAUGGUAGAGACUAGGGACCAGAAAUAAAGCCUCACAUUUGCAACUGAUUAAUUGUUGAAAAAGGUACAAUGGACGAAAAUGGCACUAGGACAAUAGAAAACACAGCUGGUGCACAAAAAACACCAACAAACAUGAUGUACUUAAUGAAAAGUUUUUGCCCUAGUGUAAGUUACUGUAUGGUGGUGGUCUAAUGUCACCAAUGUAAGUAUAAAAUAGUGCCCUCUAUAAAUAGGGUAUUUUCUGUAAAAUUAAAUACAAUAAAAACAAAAUAAUAUGAUGGGAAAAAUAAGGAAAGACAUUGAAAUGGGCAAAAAGAUGAAUGGUUGUCUGGUCUGUUGCACCUCUUUGGAUUAUUAAUGCUCUUCAUUGUCUUUGAGCUACUCAUAGUACUGUUAAUUGUAGAAACUUGUUAUUAAAAAUACUUAUACAGUAUGCAUAAUUCAUAUUAUUGAUAGAACUGAUGAAUUUUAACUGAUUGAAUGGAAUUAAUUAUUGUACUGUAGAUAUUGACCAGUUUCGGUCUAUUUGUAAGCUGAAUUUAACAUUUCUUAUCUGCGUCUGUAUCUGCUUUUUGAGUUUUCCUUUGAAUUAGUUGAUAUCUUACUGGCUCACUGUAUUAGUCAGCUUUGCCUUGCUGUGACAAACGCCUGAAAUAAAUUAAUUUGAGAAGGAGAAAAGUUUCAGUCCA
Molecule: long non-coding RNA, 3133 nt
Organism: Cavia porcellus (domestic guinea pig)
Lineage: Eukaryota; Metazoa; Chordata; Mammalia; Rodentia; Caviidae
Exons: 2
Source: RefSeq, a predicted model, not a curated record